CCUACGGGAGGCAGCAGUGGGGAAUUUUGGACAAUGGGGGCAACCCUGAUCCAGCCAUGCCGCGUGAGUGAAGAAGGCCUUCGGGUUGUAAAGCUCUUUCGGCCGGGAAGAAAUCGGUGGAUCUAAUAAAUUCACUGGAUGACGGUACCGGACUAAGAAGCACCGGCUAACUACGUGCCAGCAGCCGCGGUAAU
Molecule: ribosomal RNA, 194 nt
Filed under: uncultured Thauera sp.
Lineage: Bacteria; Pseudomonadati; Pseudomonadota; Betaproteobacteria; Rhodocyclales; Zoogloeaceae
Description: partial 16S ribosomal RNA
Rfam family: Bacterial small subunit ribosomal RNA
Source: RNAcentral